Molecule: ribosomal RNA, 253 nt
Filed under: uncultured prokaryote
Description: partial 16S ribosomal RNA
Rfam family: Bacterial small subunit ribosomal RNA
Source: RNAcentral
UACAGAGGUCCCAAGCGUUGUUCGGAUUCACUGGGCGUAAAGGGUGCGUAGGUGGUGAGGUAAGUCGGAUGUGAAAGCUCGGAGCUCAACUCCGAAAUGGCAUUGGAAACUACCUUGCUCGAGGGAUGGAGGGGGGACUGGAAUUUACGGUGUAGCAGUGAAAUGCGUAGAUAUCGUAAGGAAGACCAGUGGCGAAGGCGGGUCUCUAGACAGUUCCUGACGCUGAAGUACGAAGGCCAGGGGAGCAAACGGG